UACAGAGGGUGCGAGCGUUAAUCGGAAUUACUGGGCGUAAAGCGCACGUAGUCGGCUUUGCAAGUCGGGUGUGAAAUCCCCAGGCUCAACUUGGGAACUGCAUCCGAUACUGGAUGGCUUGAAUUCGGGAGAGGGAUGCAGAAUUCCAGGUGUAGCGGUGAAAUGCGUAGAUAUCUGGAGGAAUACCGGUGGCGAAGGCGGCAUCCUGGACCGACAUUGACGCUGAGGAGCGAAAGCUAGGGGAGCAAACGGG
RNAcentral lists this ribosomal RNA (253 nucleotides) under uncultured bacterium. Its description in RNAcentral is "partial 16S ribosomal RNA". It matches the Rfam family "Bacterial small subunit ribosomal RNA", at positions 524 to 776 of the family's 1533-position model. The record is from RNAcentral.